Molecule: long non-coding RNA, 1283 nt
Filed under: Vigna radiata
Lineage: Eukaryota; Viridiplantae; Streptophyta; Magnoliopsida; Fabales; Fabaceae
Description: long non-coding RNA (VRAD_LNC004996)
Source: RNAcentral
CUUUGUUGAAACUGAGUAACGAACCAUCAACUGCAUACAAAAUCGAAAAACCAAAACUUAAAAACCCUAAAUGAAAAACAACACACAAAACCCAAACUCAAAAUACGAAACGCUAAACACCAAAACCCACCAAGGAUGAAUGCUCUUACCCUGCUUAGAACUGGCCAUUUCGCAAAACGAACACACCAAGAAACAAAAGAUGCAAUGACAGCAACAUCCACACCAACAACGAAGGCCAACAGGGCAACAAGAAGCACGAACGACAGUCAGAUGGCGAAAACGAAGGCAAUAACGAUAUCGGAAUGGCGAAAGCAAAGCCAAGAAACCUAUCGGAAUGAAGAAAUCAGAAGAAAGAGAAUUUAAAAUCUGAUGAAACAGGGAAGAAAGAGAAUGUUAAAUUCAGAUCAAACUGGGGAAGGGCAAACUUGGAAUCCAAAAAUUCAAAUCUCUUCCUCAUUAAUGACAUCACAUUUUUUGUUUUUUUUUUCUAAAAAAAACACCCAAUCGCAUGCCUACACGUGGCGUUGUUAAAAUAGUGUCAAAAAGAUUGUGUCAAAAUAUCAUAAUCCAAAGAAAAAACUCCAUUAGUGUUAUAUCCUUUGAGUUGGCCCAUGAGGAAUGUGUCAUCACUCAUCUUAAAACAUUACUCCUUCCACCACUACAUAUUUAUGCACCUCCCAAUUUUUUUUUUUACUUCAAAACCAACUUUGAGUAAUUUUUUUUUUAUUUUUACCAUAUUUAAUCUAAAACCCUAAUCUUAUUCUCUCCUUUUUCAUUGUCACGGCUUACCCCACACCUACAUAGAAUCUCAUUUCUCUCUUUCACUCUUUUCUUCCUAUUCUCCUUCUCUACCUCUCUUAUUUCUGAUUUUCGUUUCCUCCCUCCAUUAUUUGAUUGUUUCCAUUGUGUCUUUGUGUUGUUGCUUCCAUUGUGACCGAGGUGGUCAAUUUGCAAAGAGAAGUGUGGUUCGGGUUGGUUUCGUUUCUUAAACACACACUUGGAUCUAGGUUGGUUUUAUAUUCUUUUCAUGGUUAACGCUUUUUGUCCAUUUUGUUUCGUUUGGUAUUUAGCUUUUGUAUGUGUUAUACAACGGUUUGUUGUUGUUGUUGUUGUUGUAUGUUCUAUGUACAUAAAACGAUUGAGGGAAACCGCGAAGGUCAAAACGAAAAUGGGAGAUUUGUUUAGCCUUCAAACGACGUCGAUAUCCAUUGACGGAUAUGGACAUCCGUUGAAGGCCAAACAAAUCUUCUAUUUCUAUUUUGGCCUUAAAUCUAUAUUUUUUU